This 226-nucleotide ribosomal RNA is filed under the name Diaporthe batatas. Its description in RNAcentral is "partial 28S ribosomal RNA". The record is from RNAcentral. Lineage: Eukaryota; Fungi; Ascomycota; Sordariomycetes; Diaporthales; Diaporthaceae.
UGACCUCGGAUCAGGUAGGAAUACCCGCUGAACUUAAGCAUAUCAAUAAGCGGAGGAAAAUUUUGUUGGAACGGGCCAUGGCAGACCGAAACCUUUUGUGACUGAUACCCCUGCUGCUUCGGCGGGUGGCCUCUCUCAGGAACGCCCCCAAAAUCGGGGACCCAGUCCCGCCUCCCCCUACCUGUGAUGAAUUGAGAAAUCAUCCCAUCCCAACCAUUUGUGUGUA